GACUUGUAUAUGUUGAUGUUGCGUUACUUGGAACACUAUAGACAAGUUUAAUAUUAGUUAAAAACUUAAAUGAGUAUUGCUAACAACACUUUUUUUAAGUGGUGUUUUCAGUGGCAGACGAGUGAGUAACACGUAAGAACCUGCCCAUAUGAGGGGGACAACAGCUGGAAACAAUUGCUAAUACCCCAUAGGUUGAGGAGCAAAAGGAGGAAUCUGCCCACGGAGGGGCUCACGUUUGAUUAGCUAGUUGAUGAGGUAAUAGCUUACCAAGGCGAUGAUCAGUAGCUAGUUCGAGAGGGUGAUCAACCACACUGGGACGAGAGGAUAAUCAAUAGUUCGCUUCUUUACUGAGGAUGAUCGAUAAUGGGAAAAAGCCUGACAGAGCAAUGUCGCGUGGAGGAAGAAGGCAUACGGGUCGUCAACUUCUUUCCCCGGAGAAGAAACAAUGACGAUAUAUAGGAAAUAAGCAAUGACUAACUCUAUGCAAGCAGUCGCGAUAAGAUAGAGGAUGCAAACAUUAUCCAUAAAUAAUUGGGCGUAAAGCGUUUGUAGGUUGUCUUUUAAGUUCGCUGUCAAAUCCAAAGGCUCAACCCUGAACAUGUGGUGGAAAUUAUCAAGCUAAAGUAAGGUAAGGGUAGAGGGAAUUUCCGGUGGAGCAAUGACAUGCGUAUAGAUUGGAAGGAACAUCAACGACGAAAACACUUUGUUGGCUCGACACUGACGCCGAGAAACAAAAGCUAGGGGAGCGAAUAGGAUUAGAGACCCCAAUAGUCCUAGCCGCAAACGAUAGAUACUAAGUGAUUGUGUGUAUCGACCCGUGCAGUGUUGUAGCUAACACGUUAAGUAUCUCGCCUGGGGGGUACGUACACACUGCCCAUCACACUAUGGGAAAUGGACAUGCCCGAAGUCAUUACCUUAACCGCAAGGAGGGGAAUGUCGAAGGCAGGGCUAGUGACUGGAGUGAAGUCGUAACAAGGUAGCCGUACUAGAAGGUGCGACUGGAUCACCUCCUUU
This 1014-nucleotide ribosomal RNA is filed under the name Cicer arietinum (chickpea). RNAcentral describes it as "Bacterial small subunit ribosomal RNA". It matches the Rfam family "Bacterial small subunit ribosomal RNA". Lineage: Eukaryota; Viridiplantae; Streptophyta; Magnoliopsida; Fabales; Fabaceae. The record is from Rfam by way of RNAcentral.